UACUACCGAAGCUACGGCAUCAGUAAUGAUGGGUAGGGGAGCUUCCCAUACGGGUUGAAGCAUGACCGUAAGGACAUGUGGACAGUAUGGGAGUGAGAAUGUUGGCAUGAGUAGCGAGAUGUGGGUGGGAAUCCCACAGGCCGUAAACCCAAGGUUGCCAGGGGAAGGUUCGUCCGCCCUGGGUUAGUCGGGACCUAAGCUGAGGCCGAAAGGCGUAGGGGAUGGACAACAGGUUGAUAUUCCUGUACUACCGAUAACCGUUUGAGAGAAGGGAUGACACAGUAGGAUAAGCUAAGCACACUG
This 303-nucleotide ribosomal RNA is filed under the name Clostridioides difficile. Its description in RNAcentral is "bacterial LSU rRNA". It matches the Rfam family "Bacterial large subunit ribosomal RNA", at positions 1189 to 1497 of the family's 2925-position model. Lineage: Bacteria; Bacillati; Bacillota; Clostridia; Peptostreptococcales; Peptostreptococcaceae. The record is from RNAcentral.